ACCCGUUUGUGAUCCGACUCGACCCAUUUGCCAUCCCUACCCACGGAGGCUAGGAUUUAUUAGAACGGAACUCUCUGUGGUACUCAAAAAGUAUCGCAGGUUGUUGUGCAUAUAUUGGGAUGUCCAUGAGAAAAAAGAUGAUUAUGUGAUGUUUAUCUAAACUAUUCAAAUAUUUUUGAAUUUUUUUUUUAAUUUUAAUGUACAUACGUGAGUAUAUGUGGCAUCCAUCUUUUGAUGGAUAUUUUUGAGGCAUGUAGAAUAUCUUAUGGUACUUUUUAAAUAUCAUAGAGGAUCCGUUCCUAGGUUUAUUAGCCCCCACCAAAAUACG
This 328-nucleotide long non-coding RNA is filed under the name Elaeis guineensis (African oil palm). RNAcentral describes it as "long non-coding RNA (EGUI_LNC001916)". Lineage: Eukaryota; Viridiplantae; Streptophyta; Magnoliopsida; Arecales; Arecaceae. The record is from RNAcentral.